RNAcentral lists this long non-coding RNA (432 nucleotides) under Nicotiana benthamiana. RNAcentral's name for it is "long non-coding RNA (NBEN_LNC002358)". Lineage: Eukaryota; Viridiplantae; Streptophyta; Magnoliopsida; Solanales; Solanaceae. The record is from RNAcentral.
UGAGUGGAGGAGUGUGACCACACUUUCUUUGUUGAUGUCUUUGGUAGCGGCAGCUAGCUGUGCCAGGCCGUCCGCUGCGAUGUUCCGUGCCCUGGUGAUUUGUUCGAAGCGGCACUCGUCGAAUGUAGCCAUCAAUUUGUGGAUUUCUGACUGAUACUUUUGCAACCUUUGCUCUUUGAUUUGAUAAGUCCCAGCGAUCUAGUUUACCACGAGCUGGGAGUCGCAGUGGAGGAGAUUCGGCGGGCCCCAUAUUUGGUCGCCAUGUUCAGGCGUGCAAUAACGAUCUCGUACUCGGCCUGGUUGUUAGUCAUUUCCGGGCAUCGUAUGGACUGGCGAAUCGUUUCGCCCGUGGGGACUUCAAGAACGAGUCCCAGUCCCGAUUCCGAUGCAUUGGCGACGCCAUCCGUAUAAAGGACCCAUUGGUCGUUUUCG